CCGCGCGCGCACACACGCGCACCCUCCUCCACCUCCCUCCUGACAGAUCCGCACAGAUGGAUUCCUUCGCUGGAAAAUAAAGAAGAGGGUUGAAAGAGGAGGGGCCGCGGCCGGUCCGUCUCCACUCGAGAAUGAAAGAACUUCUAGCUCAAGGCAGUCAUUAACUAAUUUGAAAACCAGAACCCAGCAGAUGAUAUAUACUUAUUUACUGCAUCUGGUCUCAUUUUAAUGAAAGGAUGUGAUGGUUAAAUUGAAGUAAAUUGUUCAGGAAGUACAUCUUGCCAAAAACAUCAGGGUCUGAAAUGAUUCUGUCCGGAGCCGUUUUGGAAGCUAGCCGGUAGAUGUGGCAGAGACUCAUAUCGACUUAUGUCAAAUGGAUGGUUUUGUUACUGGGGACCAGUUUAUCUUCCCUGAAACGUCAUCAGAGACACAAAGCCUCCUGUGUACCUGGUUGAGACUCAAAAUCUGUAUCUCAGCUCUCCUCGGAAGCUUACGCCCCACCAAUGGGAGUCUUCAUUGUACAAAUGCACAGAGAUUAAGUGUGCACAGCUGUGGAUGUUAAGUGCUCAGCCCCCCACAGAGGCAGAGAAGACGUAAGUCCUCCAUAUGAGAAUCUCUGCAGAAGCAGCAGAGCUCAACAUCACGUCUCUGCCUGAUUCCAACAUUCCCUUCAGAGACUGCAGCUUUGCUGAGGCUAGACGAGUGCCAAGGGCACGGUUCACACUCUGAUUCUGCAUUGAAUGUACAUAUCGGUAUCAAUUUUGAAUUUAAUCUACAGUUCUUUUUUUAUUUCAUACUAAUACGAAGGCACAAAUGAUUAGGUUACAUUGUUUGUGUUUCUAAGGUAAAGUUCAAGUUGUAGUUGAGCCGUUCUAAUUUGAAAUUAGAAAUUUUUCUAAUUUGUACUUCUAAUUGAUAAUGUAUUUCAACUUUCACUUUUGAAUGAUGGCUAUAUGAACUAACACAAAUGUAUUAGAACAAAAUAUGAAGUAUUUACAAGGAAAAUAUCUUUGCAUGUCUUAUGAAAUCUGUGAUUAAUGUUGAUAAUAAUUAUCAGGGAAUAAUAACUACCAGAACAAAUCUAAUGAUCUACAAGUUUUGGUAGACAUGUAGAUGGUGAUUUAUUAAGCUUCCUGUCUUUUAAUUUUUUCAGUUAUGGUUAAAAGUAGUCAAUCUUUGUGGAUUUCAAAUCACAAUUCUCAACCAAUGUGUAUUUAAAUCUGUUAAAUUUCAUGUAUUCGUCUGUUAAAACUUUUUAUGACUCCUUUUCAAUUGUACAAUGUCACUGGAAUUUAUUUUCCUCAUC
Long non-coding RNA from Nycticebus coucang (slow loris), 1306 nucleotides. RefSeq lists it as uncharacterized. The record is from RefSeq and is a predicted model, not a curated record. The transcript is spliced from 6 exons. Lineage: Eukaryota; Metazoa; Chordata; Mammalia; Primates; Lorisidae.